GUCCAUUGUAAGAGAUCUUAUCCGUUCAAAUCUUGAUAUAAAUUCUUAACUUUCUAAAAGCCUACCUCCUCUCCUCUUUUUCCUCCUUUCUCUCUUUGUCGGCACUACUCUCUCCUCAUCUCUUCUUCUCACUCUCUUCUUCGUUCACCCUUGCCAUUUGUUAUUGUGACUUUCACUGCAUGUUAUGUUUUGAACCAUCAAGUCACUGACCGACUAGCGCAUUCUCGAGUUCUCCAACUAUCCAAGCAUAACGCGAUGCCCAUAUCACGCACUUCCAUUUCUGUGUCUUGAUAUUCCCAACAUCGCAAUAUCUCAAGUGUUCAUCAACACCAUGACAUCACAGGCUCUUCUAAGCAUAGUUGUAUCCCAACAACCUCGCUCUCACCCUUUGAAUAUCAAUCUUUUUUUUUAAUUUUUUAUGAUUGGUUAUUGUGUUUUCCAUCUUCAUCAACACAAUUUCUCGUUGUUGAUGAAAUGGAUUGCUGAUUUUUUUGUCUCUCUUGAUGAAAAAGAUUAUUGAAUCUCAGUUGAGAAAAUUGGGAUUUUGCCCUUUGUUGUCUUUUUUUUUUUAUGAUUUAGUUUAUUAUGAAAGAUUUUGAACCCAUGUUGGUGUGUAAUUAGGNNNNNNNNNNNCAACUUUAAUCACAGAGAAAUCACUAGUUAUGUCUGGACUUGCAACUCCCGUGAAACAAUU
RNAcentral lists this unclassified non-coding RNA (694 nucleotides) under Hevea brasiliensis (rubber tree). The record is from RNAcentral. Lineage: Eukaryota; Viridiplantae; Streptophyta; Magnoliopsida; Malpighiales; Euphorbiaceae.